GCCGUAGGCAUGGACGCAAAAUGCACCCAACCACCCUCCUCCGCCCUGAAACUCCGACGAACCACCAGCGCCGAUGGUAGUGGAACCGGAACCAUCAUACUCGGCAAGUAUCAACUUGGCCGUCUUUUAGGCCGUGGUAGCUUCGCUAAAGUCUACCACGGCCGUUGUUUAAACAAUAAUAGUAACAUCGCCAUUAAAGUUAUUGACAAAACCUCCAUUUCGGAUCCUUCAAUGGAGCCUCGGAUCAUCCGCGAAGUCUCCGUUAUGACACGUGUCAAUGAUCAUCCCAACAUCAUC
This 297-nucleotide long non-coding RNA is filed under the name Nicotiana tabacum (common tobacco). Its description in RNAcentral is "long non-coding RNA (NTAB_LNC001226)". Lineage: Eukaryota; Viridiplantae; Streptophyta; Magnoliopsida; Solanales; Solanaceae. The record is from RNAcentral.